RNAcentral lists this non-coding RNA (25 nucleotides) under Cricetulus griseus (Chinese hamster). Lineage: Eukaryota; Metazoa; Chordata; Mammalia; Rodentia; Cricetidae. The record is from RNAcentral.
UAGGUCUUCUGAACCCAAACUGAGG